This 406-nucleotide ribosomal RNA is filed under the name uncultured bacterium. Its description in RNAcentral is "partial 16S ribosomal RNA". It matches the Rfam family "Bacterial small subunit ribosomal RNA", at positions 30 to 526 of the family's 1533-position model. The record is from RNAcentral.
AUUGAACGCUGGCGGCAGGCCUAACACAUGCAAGUCGAACGAGUGGCGGACGGGUGAGUAAUGUCUGGGAAACUGCCUGAUGGAGGGGGAUGACUACUGGAAACGGUAGCUAAUGCCGCAUACCAUCAGAUGGGCCGAGAGGGGUGUAGCUUGUUGGUGGGGGAACGGCUCACAAAGGCGACGAUCCCUAGCUGGUCUGAGAGGCUGACCAGCCACACUGGAACUGAGACACGGUCCAGACUCCUACGGGAGGCAGCAGUGGGGAAUAUUGCACAAUGGGCGCAAGCCUGAUGCAGCCAUGCCGCGUGUAUGAAGAAGGCCUUCGGGUUGUAAAGUACUUUCAGCGGGGAGGCGUUACCUGCAGAAGAAGCACCGGCUAACUCCGUGCCAGCAGCCGCGGUAAUUC